This 218-nucleotide ribosomal RNA is filed under the name Escherichia coli. RNAcentral's name for it is "partial 16S ribosomal RNA". It matches the Rfam family "Bacterial small subunit ribosomal RNA", at positions 1 to 215 of the family's 1533-position model. The record is from RNAcentral. Lineage: Bacteria; Pseudomonadati; Pseudomonadota; Gammaproteobacteria; Enterobacterales; Enterobacteriaceae.
UUAAAUUGAAGAGUUUGAUCAUGGCUCAGAUUGAACGCUGGCGGCAGGCCUAACACAUGCAAGUCGAACGGUAACAGGAAGAAGCUUGCUUCUUUGCUGACGAGUGGCGGACGGGUGAGUAAUGUCUGGGAAACUGCCUGAUGGAGGGGGAUAACUACUGGAAACGGUAGCUAAUACCGCAUAACGUCGCAAGACCAAAGAGGGGGACCUUCGGGCCU